This is a long non-coding RNA of Oncorhynchus tshawytscha (Chinook salmon), 1569 nucleotides long. The record is from Ensembl. Lineage: Eukaryota; Metazoa; Chordata; Actinopteri; Salmoniformes; Salmonidae.
GCCAAUUUAAUGCUUGAGGAUGGGUAGAGAUGGUGCUUUCAGGACAACUUGGAAUUCGGAAUAAACGGGUCAAAUCAUGACGUCAGUGGUCUUCAGGUCGAAAAGUCACAACUCGAGAAAGAUACCCGAGUUCCCGACUUAAAAUUCUAAGUUCGUUCUAAGACCGUUGAAAACGAUUUUUCCCUGACGGGACUCGAUUUUUUCCGAGUUCCCAGAUGUCUUGAACGCACUGACGUCUGAGAUUUCCGAGUUCCCAGAUGUUUUCAACGCGACAAGAGAUGUGAUGAAUGGGAUGAGAGGAGAAAUCAGAGACUACACAAACAGACGGCUGAAGACGGGAGGCGUUCGAUGGAGCGAAAAGAAGUCGUGAUUUGACAUCUCUGUCUGAGAUAAAUAAUAUCAACGAACUGGCAAUCGUUCAUAUUUAAACAUAAUUUACCAUAGCAUUUCAUAUUCGCCCGGCAUCUUAGAUGCUAGCUGCUUGUCUGAUCUGGUACUAGAGAUGGUGGAGCCAUGAGAAUUGCACCAAGUCUUUCCGCGAAAACAGAUGGGAGAUGAAGCCUACUCGACAAAAAAACACAUUCCCCUGUAGCUAAAAAUGAGUUUAUUAUUGUUGCAGAUGUAUUUAUGAUGUUAGUGCCAUGCAAUGAUGCGUUUGAUAAGCUGUAGUAGAAUAGCUGCUGGAGGAAUUUUGAUGGCACUUACGACGCCAGGGAAAGAGGCAACGAGUAAAUUGUGCUAUUUUGAACAGUCGGGCCUUACAAAGUGACAUGCAGGAAUGAAUGUUCAGCAUUUUUCUCGCCCGAGGAUAACUGUAUGCGGUGCAGGCAGCUGGUCACAUUGAAAGCGGCGGUGUCUUUGGAGAGUAGCGAAAUACAAGGGAGCGGAGAGGAGCGCCGAGCUGUAAAUACCGAAGUCCGUCUAGAACCAAGUGGAUAUUUGAAGACUAUUUUAGCAGCCAAGAUAAGAUUUUGUUCUGUCAAUAUUAAUGCAAGCGGUCCCUAUUUACCUGCCUUAUAAGUGUAAAAUGAGGUUCGCGCUACAUGGGAAUUAAAAACAGUCUCUGUCAAUCAUGUAUGUGGUCCUUGGUAGCCAACAUUAGCUUAGCUGCUAUCGUCGUUGAGCAUGAUUGAAAAGUGCAUAUCAUUUAUCUAACGUCAACACCGAUGUUUUCGAUCCUCAUGCAUGCACCGACACGUUUGUUUGGGAAAGCUUUCAACCAACACCCACAGCGUAUAACAGACGAACAGGCUAUGUCGGCGUGAAGGGAACCACACUGACUAUCUCGAGUACCCCGUCAAGCCAUAGCCGUCAACAGCGUUGUGAAGAACCGAUUAUUGGAGAGGAAAACACAGUAGCUUGUUCAUUCCCGCGUUGGAGCCCUCGGCGACCACGGCCUGAAUCCCUUCGAUUAACCGACCAAGCAAAAUGGGGUACGUAUCGCGCAAUGUAGUGCCAUUUUUAUCCUGUACUAAUCUUCCCUGACAAGAAUGGUGUUCAUGGGAGGUGUUAUGAUUCCUAUGAAGCCUGGUUUGUUUCCAGAUAAAUACGUGUGGGUAGAAGGUUGAG